GGCCUCGUGGCGCAACUGAAUAGCGCACUGGAUUUCGGCUCCAGCGGUUGUAGGUUUGAAUCCUACCGGGGUCACGA
This 77-nucleotide transfer RNA is filed under the name Lutibacter sp. BRH_c52. RNAcentral's name for it is "tRNA-Arg". It matches the Rfam family "tRNA". From Rfam's summary of the family: Transfer RNA (tRNA) molecules are approximately 80 nucleotides in length. Their secondary structure includes four short double-helical elements and three loops (D, anti-codon, and T loops). The record is from RNAcentral. RNAcentral also lists the same sequence under 1 other name. Lineage: Bacteria; Pseudomonadati; Bacteroidota; Flavobacteriia; Flavobacteriales; Flavobacteriaceae.